GACGUAGGGCGCGAGCGUUGUCCGGAUUUAUUGGGCGUAAAGAGUUCGUAGGCGGUUUGUCGCGUCGUUCGUGAAAACUCACAGCUUAACUGUGAGCUUGCGGUCGAUACGGGCAGGCUAGAGUUCGGUAGGGGAGACUGGAAUUCCUGGUGUAGCGGUGAAAUGCGCAGAUAUCAGGAGGAACACCGGUGGCGAAGGCGGGUCUCUGGGCCGAUACUGACGCUGAGGAGCGAAAGCGUGGGGAGCGAACAGG
RNAcentral lists this ribosomal RNA (253 nucleotides) under uncultured bacterium. Its description in RNAcentral is "partial 16S ribosomal RNA". It matches the Rfam family "Bacterial small subunit ribosomal RNA", at positions 524 to 776 of the family's 1533-position model. The record is from RNAcentral.